This 659-nucleotide long non-coding RNA is filed under the name Trifolium pratense (red clover). RNAcentral's name for it is "long non-coding RNA (TPRA_LNC009818)". Lineage: Eukaryota; Viridiplantae; Streptophyta; Magnoliopsida; Fabales; Fabaceae. The record is from RNAcentral.
UGUCAAAAUCCACUCUAUUCGUUGUCGAUACUCCCCCGAUCUCUCGGGUGUAAGCUACCUACAACAAAUGAUAUGAAAGCGCGUCGAUCGUUCGCUACACUCUAUGUUUCAAUCUCUCGACCGGAAACACUCGAGUGCUCAAUGCAAUUCAGUUCAGAAAUUAAACCAAUAUUCUCAUACGUGACUUAACUCAAAAUCAUUAUAACACUAGUGAAGGAUUAUAAAGCAUCAAGUAUAGAUUUGCAUUAAGUGAACACUAUGAAAAAGAGUAAAUUCUUACAAUAUAGCAGAUUACAAUAGAUCCAUCUACAUCCUAAGCUAUCCUAGAUCCUACCUCCACAAGAAGUCUAGCUCCUCAUGUUGCUUCGUUCGCGUCCUCGCUUCAACUUCAUGGCUUGAGAAUCCAUGCUAUUGAGGUGCUUGAAGCUAUCCUAUGAAGUUCUGGAUCUAACGAUGAAAGCUCCCAAAACCAGAAAGUAGAUGAAAUGUAGCAGAUUUUCCAACCCCUCAACCAGAAAAUGCAGUUUCCUUAUAUUGCACCUCCUUCAACUACGCCGCGCGUGUAACGGUCUCACGCGGCGCAUGAUAAAAUAUGAGGUCUCUGAUCUUCAACUCUGCAACCUUCACGCCGCGCGUGAUAGCUCCACGCCCCCGGCGUA